UACGUAGGGGGCAAGCGUUGUCCGGAUUUAUUGGGCGUAAAGAGCGUGUAGGCGGUCUGGUAGGUCCGUUGUGAAAACUCGAGGCUCAACCUCGAGACGCCGAUGGAAACCAUCAGACUAGAGUCCGGAAGAGGAGAGUGGAAUUCCUGGUGUAGCGGUGAAAUGCGCAGAUAUCAGGAAGAACACCCGUGGCUAAGGCGGGUCUCUGGGCCGUUACUGACGCUGAGGAGCGAAAGCGUGGGGAGCGAACAGG
This 253-nucleotide ribosomal RNA is filed under the name uncultured bacterium. RNAcentral's name for it is "partial 16S ribosomal RNA". It matches the Rfam family "Bacterial small subunit ribosomal RNA", at positions 524 to 776 of the family's 1533-position model. The record is from RNAcentral.